GGUUUAAAAAAAAACAUAAGAAUACACACAAGGGGCAAUUGGUAACCAUGGACGAAAGCUCAGCAAACACCAUCAACAGCCAUUUGAAUAAAUAUCCAGAUUCACUGGAUCUUCAGACAACCCAACCCCAGUCUCUCUCUAACUGCAACUGCCUAAGAACCCUGACAUGGGAACCACACAAAGGAACCCCAAGACAAGCCUCAACUGGGACAGGUAGUAAUGAGCUAAUUUUCAGUAAGGAUGUGUUCUUCUAUGCAAUAGAAGAUACCGAAAGGCCUUCAUUUAGAACCUGCAAGACACCUUAUCGCUAUAAAGAGGACCCCAGAGGGCACUGAGAAU
RNAcentral lists this long non-coding RNA (339 nucleotides) under Cricetulus griseus (Chinese hamster). RNAcentral's name for it is "lncRNA (ENSCGRG00000025769.1)". The record is from RNAcentral. Lineage: Eukaryota; Metazoa; Chordata; Mammalia; Rodentia; Cricetidae.